GCGGAAGUUGCAGUGAGCCAAGAUCACAAAAGAGAGAAAAGAAAAAAGUCUAUCGGGCUAAUGGGAAGCUGCCAGGGAAGAUAGGGUCUUACCAUUCAGAGUAACAUGCAAAGGCCCUAGGUUUCUUCCCCAACAGUUUCCCACUAGCCCAAAAGCUUUUUUUUAGAGGGGGGUGGGCAGGGGGACAGGAGUCAGUUGACUUUCUAUUAGAGAAUACGUGAAUACUCCAGCUUGAUGGAUUUGCUAACAUAUAUAGGACAGCUUCCUAAGUAUUAAAAACCAUAGAGAAAAUAGUGACAUGGGGUUUAUUUCCCCCAUCCUUCAACCUGGGUGGCCCUGACUUACUUUCAACAGUUGCAUGCAACAGAAGUGAUGCUGGGAGAGUUUCAGAGCCUAGGUCUCAAGAGACUUUGCAGGAAGCUUGAACUAGCUUGUCUGAGGACAAGAGUACAUGAAACAAAGAAGAGCUGUUUUAUAAUAGCUCAGAUCCCUAAAACCAGUCCUAAUUUGAGCUGUCAGAUGAUUGUAGCUACACAAGUGGCCUCAGGGGAGACUAGCAGAACUACCAAACUAAACUCAGUCCAAAUUGCUGACUCACAGAAUUGUAAGCGAAUAAAACGGUUGUUUUAAGCAGCUAAAUUUUAGAGUGGUUUGUUAUUUAAUAAUAGAUUAUCUGGUGAUUAUAUAAUUAAGAUAGUUUUACAUAUAUAAAUUUCAUUAUAGUCUUUUGAGAAAACAUAUAAUAUUGAUGUAGGAAUUUGAAAGAUUGUCUCAAUUGAAUCAUAACCUUUUUGACAGAACAUAUUUAUCUUUUUUUAGGCUCUAAAAAUCACAAAGAUACUGACGGACCUUCACAAACACAACAUGCCUAAAUUUGGCUCCUCAAUCCUGCAUCAUAAAUUAUCAGUAACAGAAAAGCAAAAGGAUACAUUUUCAAAGCACAACAUGGGCAAUGAACCCCUCUUGACUUAAAAAUAUUUACCAUUUGUGCUUAAUUUAAACCUAUCUAAAAUGUAUCAUAAUCCAGCUCAACAUACUUAAGCUGUGAUCCAUGCAACAGUCCUCUAUGUUGAUGAGCCAAAGUAGCAUUACUAACUCUUAAUACUGAUAAUGUUUCAUGUGUUUCCAAGUUAGAUGUUGUUAGUCCUUACUGGUGACAAUCUGAAGACCAUUCCUGGCCGGGCGCGGUGGCUCAUGCCUGUAAUCCCAGCACUUUGGAAGGCCAAGGCAGGUGGAUCACCUGAGGUCAGGAGUUCAAGACCAACCUGGCCAACAUGACAAAACCCCGUCUCUACUAAAAAUACAGUAAGUUAGCCAGACAUGGUAGUGGGUGCCUGUAAUCCCUGCUACUUGGGAGGCUGAGGCAGGAGAAUUGCUUGAACCUAGGAGGUGGAGGUUGCAGUGACCUUAGAUCACGCCACUGCACUCCAGCCUGGGAACAAGAGCGAAACUCCAUCUCAAAAUAAAUAAAUAAGUAAAUAAAUAAAUAAAGACUGUUCUUUACCAUCAUUAGCUAAGGUUGGUCAUCUUCAGCAAGUUAUACUUUUUUACCUACCUACAACUAUCUUCAUAUACUCCCCAAAUAUUUUCUCUAUCUUGAAACUGUAGGAGGAAAAGAAGGGCGUUUGACUGCCAAUCACUAUCUCAUUUAACCUUUCCAACAACCUUCUGACAUAGAUAUUAUUACCUCUACUUUACUGAUGAAGGAAGGAAAGAAAACUCAGUUACUCAGCUAACUUAGUGAUUUAGUCAUAAUUUGAACCCACAUCUAUCUGACUCCAAAACCUGUAUUUUUUCCACUAUAACACCAUGCCUUCCAACUUUGAGCACUUGUAACUUUUUAUUAUACUUUUUAAUAAUCAUUAGUCAGCCAUAAUUAAAGAUAUAAAUUAAAUGAUGCCUGUUUUGGGUUUAAUCUGAGCAUGACUGGUUUUAAGUAGGAACUCUGGAACUGUUUAAACCUACUUGUUUAUUAAAAAGAAAAAAUUAGGUUGUAGCAGCAACUACUGUAUUCCUUUUGAACAGAACCAAAAGGAUAACUCUGUCUUGAAGAUUUUAUUAAAAUAUUUCACUGAGAAAUGAGAAGGGAACUAAAAUAAAAUGAAUCAUAUAUCUUAAGACGCCUUACUGAUAUUUUAAGAUGAAGUAUAACAUACAUACAGAUCAAGAGUGUUCAGUUCAACGAAUUAUCACAAAGUGAGCAUACCUGCAUACUUAAGACAUACAUUAUCAGCAUCUCAAAAGGCCCCCCCUCACUAUCCCUCCCAAUGAUUACUCCUUUAUUCUUCCCCAAAUAUCACUACUAUCCCAACUCCUAACACAAUAGGUUAGUUUUGCCCGGUUUAAAAUUCUAUAUAACAGGCCAGGCGCAGUGGCUCACCCACAAUGGAAUAUUAUUAAGCAGUAAAAUAAAUAAACUGUGAAGCCAUGAAAAGACAUGAAGAGGGCCAGGCACAGUGGCUCACGCCUAUAAUCCCAGCACUUUUGGGAGGCCAAGGCAGGAGCACUGCCUGAGCCCAGGAGUUCAAGACCAAUCUCUAUUUUAAACAAAAACAAAAGAAGAAGAUACUGACGAAGAGACCUAAAUGCAUAUUGUUAAGUGAAGAUGCCAGUCUGAAAGGACUAUAUACUAUGAUUCCAACCACAUGACAUUCUGGAAAGGUAAAACUAUGACUGUAAAAAGAUCAGUGGUAGCCAGAGGUUCAGAGGGAUGAGGCAGAGAUGAGUAAGUGGAACAUGGGACAUUUUUAGGUCAAUGAAACCAUUCUGCACGAUUCUAGAAUAGUGGAUGUAUAAUGUUAUGCAUUUGGCAAAACCCAUAGAACUGUCCAACACAAAGGGUGAAUCCUAAUGUGAACUAUGGACUUUAGUUAAUAAUGUAUCAACACUGGUUCCUCAGUGAUAACCAACACACCACACUAAUGCAAGAUACUAACAGAGGAAACCGUGGGGGACAGUAUAAAUGGGAACUGUGUAUUUUUUUGAGCAAUUUUUCUGUAAAUCCAAAACUGUUCUAAAAAAAAAAAUCUUUCAAAAAACUCAAAUUUACAUAGCCACAUAUAGUUAGUGGCCAGUAUUGAACAGCAUAGGCCCAUAUAAAUAGACUGAUGUGGGAAGAAAAUGAGAAUGGCAUAUGAAGAAUUACUUCAUUUCUGACUACCACUCCCAAAAGUACACAUACAGUUAACCCUAAACUAUAUAAGGUUUUAUAUGUAGCUUCUAUAUUAACAUUUUACAGUAGAACUUGAUCAAAAAUAUUCUGGAUGAAUAUCUUUCUAAUUUUUGUUAAACAGAAUUUAAGGAGGAAAAUAACAUUCAUUAAAGGUGUCAGGUACUAUACUAAAGAUAUUAUUAUUUACAUUUCCAAACAACCUUUAGAUAAAAGUAUUACCAUUUCUGUUUUUAGAGAUGAGGAAUUAUAAUGCUUAAGUCAUAGAAGAUGAGAACCUAGAUAUACUGGACUCCAAAGUGUAUGUUCUAUUUUUUUUAGCGAGGUCUAUAUUCUAAUAUACACCACUCUACUGUAUAUAUGUUUAUGAUUCCCAAAAUUACAAACAUAAUUUUCCCACAAUGAAUUUUCCAUCAGGAGCAAUACUUUAUAUAUAGCACAAUAUAACAGUUAAUGAUAUACUCAGAGUCUAAUGAGGUGUUGUAUAGGUAACUGCUGUCCCUAUUUUAAACAGCCUCAGGCUAAUGUGACUUUUUUCCUGCCACCCAGCUGGCCCUCCAUCCUACCUAUAUGGCUCUACUCCAACAUCUAAUUUGCACCUUUUAAUCUGCUGUGGGACGAGAAAAUAGAUAAUCAAAUUCCUUGAAUUAUGUACAAAGCAAGAGAACUUCUAAACCAAUAUGUUAGUGCAGAUGAUUUAGUUCAUUAAUUUUUCUGAUAAUUAUAGGCCUUUUUUUUUUUUUUGGCCUACUUCUUAAUCUAAACUGAGACCUGGACAAAUUAAAUACUGUUCUAUAAUAAAGCUAAGAAUUUAGUGAUUCUGUUUCAUUCAAAAGUUUUCCACUACACUUUUUUUUUUUUUGAGACAAGUCU
Molecule: long non-coding RNA, 4042 nt
Filed under: Homo sapiens (human)
Lineage: Eukaryota; Metazoa; Chordata; Mammalia; Primates; Hominidae
Description: HSALNT0017789
Source: RNAcentral